RNAcentral lists this long non-coding RNA (2470 nucleotides) under Homo sapiens (human). Its description in RNAcentral is "PREDICTED lncRNA (TCONS_00151547)". Lineage: Eukaryota; Metazoa; Chordata; Mammalia; Primates; Hominidae. The record is from RNAcentral.
AUUGUGAAAAAAUUCAAACACACAGCAAAGUUGAAAGGAUUUUUACAAGACACAGCUGUAUAUGCAUUUCCUGGAUUCUACUGUUAAUAUUUUAUUAAACUUGUUUAUUUUCUAACUAUCCCUCUAUCCAUCCUUCUAUCACCUUAUUUCCUGGAUGCCUUUCGAAGUGAAUUGCAGACAUCUGUACUCCUUCCCCUAAAGCAGCAUAGUGUUUUAUCAUCAUUUAAUAAUUUAAUACCUCAAUUUUGUAUACAUUAUGGAACCAGGAAACAUUAUAAGAAAUCACUGGACCCCAAAAAUGUUAAUUAGCCUUGGCUAGCCUGAAAGAGAACACAAUUUCCUAAGGUCCUAACUUUAAGGCACUUGAGGAUUCUUACUAAGGGCAAAUUCCUGAGAUGACAGAAAUACUAGUCAACACACAUCAAUGCCUAUGUUUUUCCCUCCUCCUGGAAUCCUGUGCUUUCCCCUUCCUGCUCCACCUGUUGAAAUCCUCUCUUCAUUCGUCCAAGAAUGAUCUCAGAUGUCUGCAAGGAACAUAAACCACUGUUACACACGUAUUGUUUUAAGGAAAAAAGUUACUGAAGAAGUCUGAACUGUCACCUCCUUCCCAAUCCCUUUCCUAAACCCCGAGUUUUAACUUUUCUCAUUUUAAUGCCCAUAAACUUUCAUUGCUAUUUUUCCUCCCUCAUUCUACCUUGUUGCAGUUUAGUGUUUAUUUGUUUGUUUAUCACGACUACUGCUCCUCCUCCUAAUAAUACUUAUGGUUAAUUUCUUUUUAAGGGACUAUAUCUUAAGACUAUGUGUCUUCUGCAGUUCUUUGCAUAGAGUCAACGUUGAAGGACAAGCAACUUCAAAUUUCCAAGCAACAAAAUUAUGUUCGGGUGGUUUUCUGAAAGCGAGAUCUUAAGAACCACCUGUAUCAGAAUCCCAUGAAGAGCUUGUUUAGUGUGCAAAUUUACAGAUUGUCCCCCCUCAGAAAUGCUCAUUUAGGAGUUCCUGUCCUUUGCGGGGACAUGGAUGAAGCUGGAAACCAUCAUUCUCAGCAAACUAACACAGGAACAGAAAACCAAACACUGCAUGUUCUCACUCAAAAGUGGGAGUUGAACAAUGAGAACACAUGGACACAGGGAGGGGAACGUCACACACCAGGGCCUGUCGGGGGUGGGAGGUGCUAAAAGGAUAAUACCAAGGAAAACUAUGGGUGGGGGCAGUGAAUGGCCAGCAUGCCUAUAAUCCCAGCACUUGAAGCCAGGAGUUCGAGACCAGCCUGGGAAACAAAGCAAGACCCUGUGUCUAAAAAAAUUUUUUUAAAAAUAAGCUGGGCAUGGUGGCACGUGCCUAUAGUCCCAGCUACUCAGCUACUCGGGAGACCAAGACAUGGAAUAAACUUGACAAGUGCUAAAGAUGCUCUUUGAUUUUUGUGUGGCAUGAGACCUCAGGCUGAAACUUCUCAUCUGAGCCAUUGAAGGGAGCCUCUCAUCUCUCCACCGAGAGGGGAGACCAGAAUGGCUCCUUCAGGCACAUUCUGUUGGGCUUCCCUCUACCUCCCCACUCUGCUGCUUCCCCGCUCUUUUUGAAUUUCUCCCUGUUGAGGAGAGGGAAGACCAGCUAGGAGCUCUGUUUCUGGCAGGAAUCUGACACCACUUACUCCUUGGGUAGAAACUCCCCCAAGUCUGAACUAUGUGAUUGCCUGAGCCCUGCUUCUUGUUCAUUAAGACUGCUCCUCUGAAACGGAAUUGAUGAAUUUUUAGUGGCUAUUAGAAGCAUUUGGGAUCCAUAGGCAUCAGGGUUUGAUGCAUGGCCCUCAUCUCUGUGGGCUCCUGUGCAAUGAUUCUCAUCUGUCUUAGUUAGAAAGUGAAUUAAUCUUGACCUUGGCCUCAGGGGUGUGGUUCUCUGCCCUCUUACACAUCUUCAAUUCGCUUCUUUAUCAGAAGCACUUGUUUUAGGCCCAGGCUCCCCCAAUUUUAAUGACAUUUAGACAUUUGUCUUUAAGUUACAUUGCUUUGAUUUUAAUCAAAAUCUAUAUUUCUAGUAUUAUAUGUUUCCAGAAAGUUCUCAUUCUGGAUUGUAAUUUAAUUACAUGGAUCAUUAAAGCUUUGAAGGAUGCUAAUGGGCAGAAAAAAGAGACUUAACAAAACGAAAGUUAUUAUUAGGAAUUACAAAUCACUUAACAUUUCAACAUCACUCGUCGGAUGUGGGCAUUUUGUUGAAAGAGACCUUGUUUUGAACAGUGACAGUGCAGAAGACCUAUGGAAGAAACAAGCUUCCAACUUGAUUUCUAUUGUUAUGCAUGCAUAGCAAAUUAUUAAUUCUAUUCUAAUAGGGUAAUAGAUUUAGAAAUACUAUUAGCAGAAAACUUGAUGUAUUAGGCAAUACUACAUACCACAUUAGUCUAACCGCUCAACUGUAAUUUUUCAUCCAUACUUUCUUGGGAUGUAAAUAAAAUUGAUAUUAUACAAUGAAAAUAAAA